CAAUAGCGUAUAUUAAAGUUGUUGCGGUUAAAAGCUCGUAGUUGGAUUUCUGUCGAGAACGGCCGGUCCGCACUAUGUGCGUGUAUCUGGUUCGGUCUUGGCAUCCUCUUGGAGAACGUAACUGCGCUUGAUUGCGUGGUGCGGUAUUCAAGACUUUUACUUUGAGGAAAUUAGAGUGUUCACGGCAGGCAAGCGCCUUGAAUAUAUUAGCAUGGAAUAAUAAUAUAGGAUCUCGGUUCUAUUUUGUUGGUUUCUAGAACAUACGCAAUGAUUAAUAGGGACAAUUGGGGGCGAUUCGUAUUAACGCGUCAGAGGUGGAAUUCUUAGAUUGCGUUACGACGAACUACUGCGAAAGCAUUUGCCAAGGAUGUUUUCAUUGAUCAAGAACGAAAGUAUGGGGAUCGAAGAUGAUUAGAU
Molecule: ribosomal RNA, 417 nt
Filed under: uncultured eukaryote
Lineage: Eukaryota
Description: SSU rRNA
Rfam family: Eukaryotic small subunit ribosomal RNA
Source: RNAcentral